This 497-nucleotide ribosomal RNA is filed under the name uncultured bacterium. RNAcentral's name for it is "bacterial SSU rRNA". It matches the Rfam family "Bacterial small subunit ribosomal RNA", at positions 17 to 507 of the family's 1533-position model. The record is from RNAcentral.
UCAUGGCUCAGAUUGAACGCUGCGGCAUGCCUUACACAUGCAAGUCGAACGGCAGCACGGGAGCUUGCUCCUGGUGGCGAGUGGCGAACGGGUGAGUAAUACAUCGGAACGUACCCUGAAGUGGGGGAUAACGUAGCGAAAGUUACGCUAAUACCGCAUAUUCUGUGAGCAGGAAAGAGGGGGAUCGCAAGACCUCUUGCUUUAGGAGCGGCCGAUGUCGGAUUAGCUAGUUGGUGAGGUAAAGGCUCACCAAGGCGACGAUCCGUAGCGGGGUCUGAGAGGAUGAUCCGCCACACUGGGACUGAGACACGGCCCAGACUCCUACGGGAGGCAGCAGUGGGGAAUUUUGGACAAUGGGCGCAAGCCUGAUCCAGCCAUGCCGCGUGAGUGAAGAAGGCCUUCGGGUUGUAAAGCUCUUUCGGUGGGGAAGAAAUUGCUUCGGUUAAUACCUGGAGUAGAUGACGGUACCCGCAUAAGAAGCACCGGCUAACUACGUG